CUAAAACCAGAUUUGUGAUUAAGAUGGAACGUUGUAAUUUGUAAACACAAUAGAAAUAUGAAUUGCAAUAAACCGUCAAAUCAAAACAAGAAAAGUACCAGAUAACAGUACAGAUUUCAAGUCUACCUGUUGAUACUCCACACCCCAGAAGGCCUGCAGCCUUAGAUAGAGGUAUUCCAGAAUCAAUCUUUGUGACAUGGGCUAUGUCUAUCACUGUAUACUCACUAAAACUAGACACACAUAGGAAAUGGUAUAGAGUCUCGCCGUUGAGGUCAGUGAAUCUGCUUGUCCCAUAUCUUGGCAUAAAAGGUGAGACCUUGAAGGGCAGUUCUGAAGAUGAACACAGGUUGCUCUUUGUUGAUUUGCAAUCUCUACAUUCUCCACACUCUGCCAUGAAUGUUGGGAUGACCGUAUCUCCUUCACUUACCUCAUUGACAUCCUCCCCAACACUCUCCACAACCCUACAAGGCAUAAACAUUGAUCGAAAAGCAUUUCAACUCCAUGACCAAAACAUGUAGGUUUACGCAACCUGACCAGAUACAUCUGAUACUGACUCAGUAUACUUUCAGUGCAUUAAGCCAUUGAGCAAAAGACGAAUGUUUCUCUAAUUUCAGUGAUCAAACUAACAAUGUGUGCUAAUUAAUGUACGCCAAUGAUUAAACUAACAAAGUGGUCUAAUUUGGUUUUGAAAGAUGAAUUAGAGUGACAGUGUUGGAGCUCACCCGAUAGCUUCGUGACCGAGAAUUAUAGGGAAAAUUCCAGGGAAGUCCUGCAACAACAAAACCAAACAAGAUAUGUUAAAACUCAAUCGCUUGUUAAUUGGUCCAAACAAAGUGUCACGUUGUGCUAAAGAGAUAACCUUCAUUUUCCAGAAGACGAUAUCACUGUGGCAGAGGGAAGUAUAUAUAAUUCGAAUGCGCACUUCAUGAGGCAUCGGCGGUGCCACUACGAUCUCUUCGAUCACUAGCGGCUCACCUGGCUUCCGACACACCGCAGCUACAGCCACGUAACAUAAUCAGAUCCACCAUUCAUCAAAAGUCAACGAAUCCAAAACUAACAGAAACAAUUUCAAAGUGAGUAAUAAGAACCCACCUCUGCAUCGAAUAGGCUUCCCUCUACUUCCACUUGACACCUUCUCAGCCAUGGCUUUCAAGAAGACACAGUCCUUGAUUCUUUCAGAGCGUGAAUGGCUAAUAAUAUGAUUAUUCACUGUCUAGUUUGUACGAUAAUAAAGGCAAACAGAAAGAUGUAAAUGUGAGUAGCUGAGACUUCGCUGGCUGGGAUUACUUGAUGACUAAGGGAUGGAGAAUAUAACCUGCCACAGUUUUAUACGAUUGGCAGAAACGGUAGGUGGGUUUGGACUUUGAAAGUGACAGUCUUCAUUUGGGGUUGGCCGUUAGCGGCAUUGCUUAGCUUUGUGCUUGUCUGCUACUUAAUUUGGCUUUCGGCUCCGCGGAGGUUCUUCCGUCCACCAGUUGAGUUUCACCAAGUUCACGUGUCAGCAUCAUAACUUUUCGUUUCAGUCAAGUCCAAAAGUUAACUAACAAUAGUUUUGAAAGAAGAGGUUAUGAUGCUGCCACAUCACCUUGGUGAAAACUCACCUGGUGGACAUGAAGAAUUUCCGUCGUCCGGGACCGUACAUGCUGAUUUGUUGAUAACCACCCGCAGAAUGAUGCACAUGCUUUUGUCUAUUUCUUUCUAAGUGGGUAAUAUGGGCCCUCUUUAGUGAGGACCGGGCCGAAACGCAAGAUCUGUGUAGCCCAAGCCCAACCUAUUUUAAUAUUCCUACAAGUUUUAAUUUUUCAACUGUUAUCUGAACGAUUUUCCGACUCGUCAAACAACUAGCUUCGUUUCCGUCAUAUUUGGUGGGAAAACAAAUUUGGGUUAAACUCUUCAAAAUGGUCUGAACUAUUAGGGGACUGAUAGAAUGAUACUCAAACUUAUAAAUGUAUAAUGUGAUACCUAAACUUAUAUUUUGGUAUCAACAACGGGUGUGCAUCCAAGAUUAUAGAAUAUUCCGUUUGUGUCUUGCAUUUUAGUUUUCUUUUAUCAUUUUAAAAAUUGACGGAGCAUGGUGGGCCUAGAACAAUAAAUUUGUUUAUUUAACAUACUACAAAUAUAUAAAUCUAUCCUCUUUACUCAAAUAUAUAAAUCUAUCAUCUUUACUCAAAGGUAAACAGUUAAUUUUUCAUCAUUGGAGAAUCUAUUGAUACAAGAUUAGAUUAUUUAUCAGAAGUUAGACAGUCUUAUAAAAAGUUACAGAAAAAAGAGAAAAAUUAAGAAAACUAAAAGAAUUUUGAUCUAAGCUUCAUAGAAGUACUAAUUUUUAUUGGGAUAUUAUCUAUCGGAUCUAGAAAAGGAUCUAUCAAGUAGAAGAGGAAGUCAAAAUUCUCAAAGAGACUUUCGUAGAAGAUCAAAAACCCGUUGAUUAUUUGAGCAUCAGUUAGAUCCGCCCUAACUGGUAUCAGAGUCUGCUUUGCUCAAAGGCAGGUAAGAAAAAGGUUUAUGCCACAAAGUUGGCUUCUCUUGACAAACAAAAGAGAAUCAAAACUUAAAAAUUAUCAGUUUUAUUGUACUGCAAAAUGAACUGAUAAGUGGGAAGUGUGUUUUCAUAUAAGGCAUAUUCAAGAAAAUCAAUACUCCAUUGAAUACGUUUGUAGAGUAUUAAAUACUCUCUACGACGAACAUAUUCAUCUCCAUAGAGAAAUCGGAGUAGAAAAGCUUAAUCUAGCAAGUUCAAGCUUACUCGAGUUCCUAGAUCAUUUAUCUAGGUAUAAAAACCUCUGAAAAUGUAACAGAACAACUCGAGAGAUUUAAUCUUAUGAUUAAUCAACUUGAGAAAAUAAAUUCAAAAAUUGCUAGGCUUGAAAUGAUUAUCUCAAAGAAAAGCAAUAUCUGAUAGAUAUUGAAAGGAAACUAGUUCGCACUGAGAAUCUUGCAAACAAUAUUCAUCAGCAAGCAACGGAACUAAUAAAUACUCAAGAAAACUUGAAAAAGCUUUUAUAAACUCUUAUCUCCAAGAUAGGAUGAAGCAAAGAAUAGAUCUAAAAGUAAAAUAGGAAGAUGUUAAAGCUAUUAGUUUUCAUCGUCCUACAAAAAAAGUUGCUGAGAAUGUGGAAACAAAUUAUUCAUCAACAAAAUUAUAAUAUCACUUAUCUCCAAGAGAUAGGUACUGACUUGAAAUUCAAUUUCGAGAGUUACAAAGCAAGAUUUCAAAUCUACAAAAGAUUGUAGAAAAGAUGAAAUAAUGAGAAAGUUAUGAGAAUAUCAAUGAAGAAUCGCUCGUUCAAAAUGUAGCUAGUAAAAUCAUCAUAUAUUCUCCACCCCCACCAAUGAGAGAAAGUAGACUAAGGUUUAGUGAACCAAAACUACUUGAAUGGAAAACAUCUAAAACAUCAAAAUCCAUAACAAAGAGAGAUGUGAAGAUGCUGAGCAGAAUCCAAUUAUACAAAAAGACUAACAAAAAGACUUGAUCCCCACCAUAACCAUAUACUGCAACAGUUGGAGUGUGGAACCAACCAUGCUUCUUUGCCAUUCUUAGAUGAAUCAGAAUACUUUACAGUAACGAAAUCCCCGAGGCUAUUAACUGAGCUUAGCAUCUCAUUUCUAGACAGGGAGGAUCAUUCCAAUUAUACAAGAUUAAUCAGAAACCUAAAACCCAAUAAGCUCACCGUCACAGGCUUCACGUUUGUAGUGCCUGUUGACAACAGUACUGUAAUGGCUUUAACAAGCUCCAAGCUACUCUUUUACCCAAGAAGAAAGGAGCUCCAAGCUACUUGGCUUGCAGAAAUACCACAAUGCCGUGGCCGCGGCUAAGUUAAGCAAUAAAUUGAUAAGUAACAACCGGAAAUAUGAUGAGACGAGCCACAUUGUAACAUGUUACAAACACUAAUUCACAAUACAACGCAACUUUCAAGCAGUACAUGCAGCAGAUAUUUGAGGUACACACAUACUCAACAUAUCAAAGUGAGUUUAGCAUGAGAUUUACAAAAAUGGCACUCGUGGAUACAAUGACAGUAUACUGUAGUUCUAUUGGUUUUAUCAAUAUAUUACGCAAACAGCUUGCUGCUUCCACUAUCUAGAUGAUAGUUCCUUGUUAAACACUGAAAUCUAGCAUGUGAUAGGAGAGGCUGUUACUAAUGGAAGUAAAUCACUGAUCAUUCAUACAGAUUACACAUCGCAGAGAUUUCCCUUCAAUGAGUAAAUCAAAAGCUUUGUUGAGAAGAACCAUACUGUCAAUAAUAGCCGUCCUUACAAACACUAAAUCACAAUAUAUUGCAACUAACCAGGAGUACAUGUAACAGAGAUACGAGGUACACACAUAAGUGGAACUGGGGAAACAAGGACUUUUGAAUGCUGUAAUUCUAUUUGUUUUACAAACAUAUAUUACGAAAACUGCAUGCUGCUUACACUCUGUAGAUGGCAGUUCCUUAUUAAACACUGAAAUCUUACAUGUGAAGGAGAGGAUGUAACUAAUGAAAGUAACUCACAGAUAAUUUAUACAGAUUACACAUCGCAGACAUUUCCCUUCAAUGAGUAGAUCAAAAGCUUUGUUAAUGUCCUCAAAUGUUACUUCAUGUGUAACAAACUCAUCCAGUUGUAGUUCCUGAUACGAUGAAAAGCUAAAAUGUUAAAAGGGCGUCCAGGUGUAAGUCAAGCGAAAAGCAUUUAGAGCAUAACGUUACUGUUAAAUACCUUGUUGAUGUAGCGAUUUAGGAGAAUAGGAAUAUCUGAUUUGGGUUUCAGUCCUCCAAAUAAGACUCCCAUGAGGGAUUUGCCAGUACUAAGGAUACUCGCUGAAGGAAUGCUCACAUGUGAUCCUGGCUUGUCCACUCCCAACACGAUUGUUUUUCCCCAACCCUGAAUAGAUUACAUCAAGUAUAACUAUGAUUAUAUGAGAAAAUCUACAGCUCUGUGAGCCAACUAGAGCUGUAAGAUAAUACGAUACACACACGCACAUAAUAUAUAGAGCAAGCAAGAGAUAGAGACCUUGCGGCAACAUGCAUAAGCUUCUUGCACCACUGAUGCCAUCCCUACACAUUCAAAGCAAUAAUCUGCACCCCCGUCGGUCAUCUCAAUUAUCACCUGCCACGAAUAGCAUAUACAUUCCCAGAAAUUAACUAUUAAUCUCUAAAACAACUGUGCAUACACUAGCAAAUAAUGAAUUAUCCAUGAACUAGGUGCAUAGUUCUAGAGAAAAACCUCGCUCGCAGAUUUAUUCUCAGAAUUCGCAGCCUUAACAAAGUCGGUGAGUCCAAACUUUUUCCCUGUGUUAAUAGGAAAACAAUUUUAUCAUCAUCCUUGUGAAAUGAAACAAACAUACAGCAUUCAGAUGCUUACUCCUCCUAUGACGAAGGGCACCUCUACCAUACAUUGGCUUGAGUAUAAAGCUUUUCAUGGUCUAAAGUGACUAAAAUCAGAUACUUCUGACAAGAUCCACAUACCAACUUCAAAUUUGUCUUGGUUCACAUCCACACCAAUAAUUCUUGUAGCUCCACAAAGUCUUGCUCCCUCUGCAACCUGGAAAAAUUAGCAUGGCUGUGAGCCUUCUCAUAAUUAAAAAUCUGCAGGAGGAAAAGAAGUAUGAAACAUCUAGACUAAGGUCGAAUGCAUACAGCUAAUCCAAUUGAACCAAGCCCGAAUAUAGCCACAGUUGAUCCUGGUUCUACUUUUGCAGUUCUCCAUGCAGCACCAACCCCUAAAACCAGAUUUGUGAUUAAGAUGGAACGUUGUAAUUUGUAAACACAAUAGAAAUAUGAAUUGCAAUAAACCGUCAAAUCAAAACAAGAAAAGUACCAGAUAACAGUACAGAUUUCAAGUCUACCUGUUGAUACUCCACACCCCAGAAGGCCUGCAGCCUUAGAUAGAGGUAUUCCGGAAUCAAUCUUUGUGACAUGGGCUAUGUCUAUCACUGUAUACUCACUAAAACUAGACACAGAUAGGAAAUGGUAUAGAGUCUCGCCGUUGAGGUCUGUGAAUCUGCUUGUCCCAUAUCUUGGCAUAAAAGGUGAGACCUUGAAGGGCAGUUUUGAACACAGGUUGCUCUUUGUUGAUUUGCAAUCUCUACAUUCUCCACACUCUGCCAUGAAUGUUGGGAUGACCGUAUCUCCUUCACUUACCUCAUUGACAUCCUCCCCAACACUCUCCACAACCCUACAAGGCAUAAACAUUGAUCGAAAAGCAUUUCAACUCCAUGACCAAAACAUGUAGUUUUUCGCAACCUCACCAAAUACAUCUGAUACUGACUCAGUAUACUUCAGUGCGUUAAGCCAUUGAGCAAAAGAUGAAUGUUUCUCUAAUUUCAGUGAUCAAACUAACAAUGUGUGCUAAUGUACGCUAGUGAUUAAACUAAC
This 6353-nucleotide long non-coding RNA is filed under the name Fragaria vesca (wild strawberry). RNAcentral describes it as "long non-coding RNA (FVES_LNC000879)". Lineage: Eukaryota; Viridiplantae; Streptophyta; Magnoliopsida; Rosales; Rosaceae. The record is from RNAcentral.